Molecule: long non-coding RNA, 389 nt
Filed under: Mytilus galloprovincialis (Mediterranean mussel)
Lineage: Eukaryota; Metazoa; Mollusca; Bivalvia; Mytilida; Mytilidae
Source: RNAcentral
GGAGCGUCACUGAUGAGUCUUAUAAAGACGAAACGCGCGUCUGUCAUAUUAGAUUAUAAUCCUGGUACUUUUGAUAACUACAUGUAGUAUAUUCAAUUGUUAAAAUAACUGUUAUGCUAAAACACUGAAAAUACGAGUUAAAUCUAGCCAUUCGUUUCCGAUUGUCGUUACUACAAACCCGUUCCCUUUUCAACGAUGUGAUCUACCGAGUAAGAUUUAGGGACGACAUCAAAAGUUCAAUGGAAGAUAAAAAACUAAAUUCACAUAGUUCUUUCACUGACCCCCCUACCCCCCUCUUAACUUAAUUUGGGAAAAAUUGAUAGACCCAUAUGGAUAUAUGUAAAAAUCAAUGUUGGAUAACCAAAUCUUGCAGCAAUUCAACCCCCACC